Long non-coding RNA from Micropterus dolomieu (smallmouth bass), 545 nucleotides. RefSeq lists it as uncharacterized. Lineage: Eukaryota; Metazoa; Chordata; Actinopteri; Centrarchiformes; Centrarchidae. The transcript is spliced from 3 exons. The record is from RefSeq and is a predicted model, not a curated record.
CUGAUUCCAUGUGGGGGUCACUCCUCUUCUUAUCUCCUCCUCUAAAAGCAUUGACAGAUGAAUUUAACAAGAGGGGCACUAUCUGCCUCGCCAAGAAUAGAACUGCUAAACUAUCUGCGGCCUUGCUUGUAUGGUUUCAGCAGUAUUGAUGAAUAUAUCACAGUGUGUUCAGUCAGAAGGAACCAAUCCUUUUUCUCUUCCUUUCCUUUUUUUUAAUGACUGAUUCAGUUAGAUGUCUUCCAAUGGAGCUGGGUGCGAUGACCCAAGAUUUUCUAGCAUCGGCCACAUGGAGAAACAGCAUGUUUAGUCUGUGAGGAAGAAGACAAGAAUGAUGCCAGCAUUCACCGGGGAUCUGGAACUGCAGGACUGUUGAAAGGAAGAACUCCCUCCAUGGCUGAUGUAAAUGAUGGUUGAAGAAGAGCCUGAGGUUUAGAAGUCUUACACAAAGCCUGGAGUAACAUAGCUUCCCUUUAUCGCACCUGAUGGGCAGAAUUUCUGGUGAAACCUUUCAAUUCAAUCAAACAGAAUAAAACAAACUAUCUUGA